AUUGAACGCUGGCGGCAGGCCUAACACAUGCAAGUCGAACGGUAACAGGAAGAAGCUUGCUUCUUUGCUGACGAGUGGCGGACGGGUGUGUAAUGUCUGGUAAACUGCCUUAUGGAGGGGGAUAAUUACUGGAAACGGUAGCUAAUACCGCAUAACCUCGCAAGCCCAAAGAGCAGGACCUUCGGGCCUCUUGCCAUCGCAUGUGCUCAGAUGGGUUUAUCUAGUAGGUUGGGUAACGGCUCACCUAGGCGACGAUCCCUAGCUGGUCUGAGAGGAUGACCAGCCACACUGGAACUGAGACACGGUCCAGACUCCUACGGGAGGCAGCAGUGGGGAAUAUUGCACAAUGGGCGCAAGCCUGAUGCAGCCAUGCCGCGUGGAUGAAGAAGGCCUUCGGGUUGUAAAGUACUUUAAGCGGGGAAGAAGGGAAUAAAGUUAAUACCUUUGCUUAUUGACGUUACCCGCAGAAGAAGCACCGGCUAACUCCGUG
Molecule: ribosomal RNA, 490 nt
Filed under: uncultured bacterium
Lineage: Bacteria
Description: partial 16S ribosomal RNA
Rfam family: Bacterial small subunit ribosomal RNA
Source: RNAcentral